GAGGUCAGCAGGCAGAUCCAUUUUCUGCCACCGAAUACAUUAGCAUGGGAUAAUGGAAUAGGACCCUGUCCUCCUAUUUUCAGUUGGUUUUGGCAGCGCGAGGACUAGGGUAAUGAUUAAUAGGGAUAGUUGGGGGCAUUAAUAUUUAAUUGUCAGAGGUGAAAUUCUUGGAUUUAUGAAAGAUUAACUUCUGCGAAAGCAUCUGCCAAGGAUGUUUUCAUUAAUCAAGAACGAAAGUUAGGGGAUCGAAGACGAUCAGAUACCGUCGUAGUCUUAACCAUAAACGAUGCCGACCAGCGAUUAGGAGACGUUGAAUACAAAACACCACCAUCGGCGCGGUCGUCCUUGGCGUCUCUGUCCCUUUCAACGGGGGCAUGGCGCGAGGGCGGUUUACCCCGGUGGCACCGGUGAAUGACUCCCCUAGCAGGUUUGGGAAAAA
RNAcentral lists this ribosomal RNA (439 nucleotides) under Acanthamoeba genotype T4. RNAcentral's name for it is "SSU rRNA". It matches the Rfam family "Eukaryotic small subunit ribosomal RNA", at positions 771 to 1097 of the family's 1831-position model. The record is from RNAcentral. Lineage: Eukaryota; Discosea; Longamoebia; Acanthamoebidae.